RNAcentral lists this long non-coding RNA (310 nucleotides) under Androctonus crassicauda. The record is from RNAcentral. Lineage: Eukaryota; Metazoa; Arthropoda; Arachnida; Scorpiones; Buthidae.
CCCUAUUGUUCCACCUGUGCGGAGUCUCUCCAAAGUCCGGAGAUGGCCGUUUUAGCGAGGCGAGAGGGUUUGUGGGCUGUCACUGUAGCUGUUUCUGUUUGCAGCAAUGUCCAUGUGUUUAUGGUGAUGGGGAUUGGCUGGGUGGUUUCUAGAGUGUGGCGAUAUUCCGAUGAAAGAUAUUCCCGCAUCCGAAGAGGCAGGUGCGGGCCGAAGGGCAAAUCUACUUCCAUAAAGAAGAUGCUGAAUGAAACGGAAAUAAAUACUUCCCCUCAUUCAGCAUCUUAAAGACUAAAUUUUCAGUUUUAUCUAA